Long non-coding RNA from Rosa chinensis, 1403 nucleotides. RefSeq lists it as uncharacterized. Lineage: Eukaryota; Viridiplantae; Streptophyta; Magnoliopsida; Rosales; Rosaceae. The record is from RefSeq and is a predicted model, not a curated record. The transcript has 8 exons.
AUGGAUUAUUGUGCUCCCAUCUUUCUUUUGUUAACUUUUCUUCUAUUUUCUUUUGUGAGGAUUGAAAACUAAGCUGACAUCCUAGUUUUAACUCUGACAAAUUGGUUCUUGAGGUGUCUGAGAAAUUGGUUCUUGUUUUGUAUCAUGCUUUGCUCUCAAAAUUCCUGGAAACCAUGGUAGAGAUUUCUGCCCGUUUGUAUACUAGAAAUGUUGUAUAAACCAAUUUAUGAGUGUUCUUAUGUCAUGAGUGCAGAGUGCUUACAGUUUCCUUUUACCACUCUUCGUUUCUUUUUGUUUUUGUAGUUUACAAGGAUUAGUAAAUAUGUUUCUUUUGGAAAACUAGAUCUUGUAUGUUUGUAAUUAGAAACGUACUUGAACUUUCAAAGAAAGUAAUGUUAGUUUCAAAAUGAGUUUCUUUGACUUCGGUCAUGUGAAGCCUCUUUCCUCCAUAAACCCUUUGUUUUGGGAUGUAAUUUUAACCGAUCUACAUGUUUCCAUUUGUCAGUCCUGCCUGUCAAAGAUUCGAAGCCUCGUCUUUGUUGAGAUAGCAUCUUUUUGGAACUCGGAACUGAUUUUGGACAUUCCUCCACCGCCAAGCUUCGUGGCUAUCACAGUUGUUGGUGUCGAACCCAGAACCGGUACCAUAUCUUUUGAAGAAAACAUGAUCACCUCAAUAUUUCGGUGCUUGUGACUCUCAAGGAAAUAUCCGAGCUUCAUUCUGGUCCAUCACGUGGCUUUCAGGCGGUCUUAGGAUUGAUUGUACAAGUUCAAUCCUCGAUACAUACUGGGGAAGACUCCAAGAAGUUUUGUGAUCGCAGGUGAGCCAAGUAAAACAUGCUGCUGAUUUGUGAUUGAAGAUGAGCUAAACCGAGCGCUUUGCAGACUUGUGGCUGGAGGUAGGCACCCUUUUGUAAAGAGAUGGUUACUUUACUUUCAAGGGCAUGAUGACUUUGAUGCAGGGUGUUUUUGUUUUUUUCAAAAGGACAGAACUGUUGUUGGCGAGUGGACUAAGCAAUUUCCAGGACCCAAUAUAUGGUAAAGUCAUAUUUCUUCAUGGUAAAGUCUCUCGCACUUUCAAGUACCCCAAGUUCAGAGAAUGACUUGCAUGCAACCAUGAUGGAAUUGAUGGAAAAUGUCUAGGAACUGCUUUUGUGCAUUUUGAUAGAACUGAUGGAAAGUGUUGAACAAUAUAAUGCAUGCAGUUGUUGUAACUACUAUAUGGAUGCUACUAGGUUUUUGUCUUAGUUAGAUUAGGAUCCAUGCAACAAUGGCAGGGGUUAAUGUAAAGACUAGCAUGCUAACUAGUUUAAUUAGUAUUAUGCUACUGAUGGGAAUGUAUUUUGGUGGGUUAAUUGAUGCAAUGAGGAAUUUGCUGAUUUCAGAUCUUAUAAUAUGCCUUUUUG